GACGAACGCUGGCGGCGCGCCUAACACAUGCAAGUCGAACGAGCGAGAGAGAGCUUGCUUUCUCGAGCGAGUGGCGAACGGGUGAGUAACGCGUGAGGAACCUGCCUCAAAGAGGGGGACAACAGUUGGAAACGACUGCUAAUACCGCAUAAGCCCACGGUGCCGCAUGGCACAGAGGGAAAAGGAGCAAUCCGCUUUGAGAUGGCCUCGCGUCCGAUUAGCUAGUUGGUGAGGUAACGGCCCACCAAGGCGACGAUCGGUAGCCGGACUGAGAGGUUGAACGGCCACAUUGGGACUGGGACACGGCCCACACUCCUACGGGAGGCAGCAGUGGGGAAUAUUGCACAAUGGGGGAAACCCUGAUGCAGCGACGCCGCGUGGAGGAAGAAGGUCUUCGGAUUGUAAACUCCUGUUGUUGGGGAAGAUAAUGACGGUGCCCAACAAGGAAGUGACGGCUAACUACGUGCCAGCAGCCGCGGUAAAACGUAGGUCACAAGCGUUGUCCGGAAUUACUGGGUGUAAAGGGAGCGUAGGCGGGAAGACAAGUUGGAAGUGAAAUCUAUGGGCUCAACCCAUAAACUGCUUUCAAAACUGUUUUUCUUGAGUAGUGCAGAGGUAGGCGGAAUUCCCGGUGUAGCGGUGGAAUGCGUAGAUAUCGGGAGGAACACCAGUGGCGAAGGCGGCCUACUGGGCACCAACUGACGCUGAGGCUCGAAAGUGUGGGUAGCAAACAGGAUUAGAUACCCUGGUAGUCCACACCGUAAA
RNAcentral lists this ribosomal RNA (765 nucleotides) under uncultured bacterium. RNAcentral describes it as "bacterial SSU rRNA". It matches the Rfam family "Bacterial small subunit ribosomal RNA", at positions 28 to 806 of the family's 1533-position model. The record is from RNAcentral.